RNAcentral lists this ribosomal RNA (487 nucleotides) under uncultured bacterium. RNAcentral's name for it is "bacterial SSU rRNA". It matches the Rfam family "Bacterial small subunit ribosomal RNA", at positions 501 to 987 of the family's 1533-position model. The record is from RNAcentral.
CUACGUGCCAGCAGCCGCGGUAAUACGUAGGUCCCGAGCGUUAUCCGGAUUUAUUGGGCGUAAAGCGAGCGCAGGCGGUUAGAUAAGUCUGAAGUUAAAGGCUGUGGCUUAACCAUAGUACGCUUUGGAAACUGUUUAACUUGAGUGCAAGAGGGGAGAGUGGAAUUCCAUGUGUAGCGGUGAAAUGCGUAGAUAUAUGGAGGAACACCGGUGGCGAAAGCGGCUCUCUGGCUUGUAACUGACGCUGAGGCUCGAAAGCGUGGGGAGCAAACAGGAUUAGAUACCCUGGUAGCCCACGCCGUAAACGAUGAGUGCUAGGUGUUGGGUCCUUUCCGGGACUCAGUGCCGCAGCUAACGCAUUAAGCACUCCGCCUGGGGAGUACGACCGCAAGGUUGAAACUCAAAGGAAUUGACGGGGGCCCGCACAAGCGGUGGAGUAUGUGGUUUAAUUCGACGCAACGCGAAGAACCUUACCAGGUCUUGACAU